RNAcentral lists this long non-coding RNA (583 nucleotides) under Homo sapiens (human). RNAcentral describes it as "non-protein coding lnc-GOLGA6L6-11:1". Lineage: Eukaryota; Metazoa; Chordata; Mammalia; Primates; Hominidae. The record is from RNAcentral.
UUUUCCCUCCCGCCGCUUCUCCAAACAGGCUGGUGUACAGGGAGCAACACCGGAGCUGGUGCACGCUGGGGUUUGUGCAGAGCAUCGCUCUCACGCUGCAGGUGUGCGGCACCCUCAGCUCCCUGCAGUGGAUCACGCUGCUCAUGAAGGUCGUGGAAGGGCACGCACCCUUCACUGCCACCUCGCUGCAGAGGCAGAUCUUAGCUGUGCAUUUGUUGCAAGCAGUCCUUCCGUCAUGGGACAAGACCGAAAGGGCGAGGGACAUGAAAUGCCUCAUGGAGAAGCUGUUUGACUUCUUGGGGAGCUUGCUCACUAUGUGCUCCUCUGACGUGCCGUUACUCAGAGGUGGGUGGCCGUCUCCCUUCCCUGUACCCUGGUGAAGAGCGGUGCAGUGCCGUCACUCAGAGGUGGGUGGCCGUCUCCCUUCCCUGUGUCCUGGUGAAGAGCCGUGUAGUGCCAUCACUCAGAGGUGGGUGGCCGUCUCCCUUCCCUGUACCCUGGUGAAGAGCGGUGCAGUGCCGUCACUCAGAGGUGGGUGGCCGUCUCCCUUCCCUGUGUCCUGGUGAAGAGCCGUGUAGUGCCA